Molecule: non-coding RNA, 119 nt
Organism: Podarcis lilfordi (Lilford's wall lizard)
Lineage: Eukaryota; Metazoa; Chordata; Lepidosauria; Squamata; Lacertidae
Source: the annotation of a GenBank genome assembly
UGUCCAGUAGCACCUUAGAAACCAACUAAGUUUGUUCUGGGUAUAAGCUUUCGUGUGCAUGCAUGAAGAAAGCUUAUACCCAGAACCAACUUAGUUGGUCUCUAAGGUGCUACUGGACA